UACGUAGGGGGCAAGCGUUGUCCGGAAUUAUUGGGCGUAAAGAGCGUGUAGGCGGCCAGAUAAGUCCGCUGUGAAAUCUCGAGGCUCAACCUCGAGCUGUCGGUGGAAACUGUCUGGCUAGAGUCCGGAAGAGGAGAGUGGAAUUCCUGGUGUAGCGGUGAAAUGCGCAGAUAUCAGGAAGAACACCUAUGGCGAAGGCAGCUCUCUGGGACGGUACUGACGCUGAGACGCGAAAGCGUGGGGAGCGAACAGG
This 253-nucleotide ribosomal RNA is filed under the name uncultured bacterium. RNAcentral's name for it is "partial 16S ribosomal RNA". It matches the Rfam family "Bacterial small subunit ribosomal RNA", at positions 524 to 776 of the family's 1533-position model. The record is from RNAcentral.